RNAcentral lists this ribosomal RNA (254 nucleotides) under uncultured prokaryote. RNAcentral describes it as "partial 16S ribosomal RNA". It matches the Rfam family "Bacterial small subunit ribosomal RNA", at positions 524 to 776 of the family's 1533-position model. The record is from RNAcentral.
UACGUAGGGAGCGAGCGUUGUCCGGAUUUAUUGGGCGUAAAGCGCUUUAAGGCGGUUUGGUAAGUCGGAUGUGAAAGCUCCGGGCUCAACUCGGAGAGGCCACCCGAAACUGCCAUGACUAGAGUCCGGUAGGGGAGCACGGAAUUCCCGGUGUAGCGGUGAAAUGCACAGAUAUCGGGAGGAACACCAGUGGCGAAGGCGGUGCUCUGGGCCGGUACUGACGCUGUAGAGCGAAAGCGUGGGGAGCGAACAGG